AGAGAUCAGAAAUGCAAGAGGCAGAGGAAGCAAGGUUGGAGAGAAUUAGGAGGUACAAAUCACUGCAUCUUCAUCAUAUAAUUCUCAGUUGACUAAAAUUGUUUGGUAUUGGUUUCAGGUGUCAUAAUAAUUAUUAAUUUUUUCCAGCCAAAUAAGGCUACUCAUUAAGUUAAUCUAAA
Molecule: long non-coding RNA, 179 nt
Organism: Amphimedon queenslandica
Lineage: Eukaryota; Metazoa; Porifera; Demospongiae; Haplosclerida; Niphatidae
Exons: 2
Source: RefSeq, a predicted model, not a curated record